Oryctolagus cuniculus (rabbit) is the source of this 1766-nucleotide long non-coding RNA. Lineage: Eukaryota; Metazoa; Chordata; Mammalia; Lagomorpha; Leporidae. The record is from Ensembl.
CACCCACGGGGCUGGGGAUCCCUGUCCCCCACGGCCUUGUCACCCACGGUGCUGGGGAUCCCUGUCCCCCAGGUCCUUGUCACCCAUGGUGCUGGGGGGUCCCUGUCCCCCGUGUCCUUGUCACCCACGGUGCUGGGGGGUCCUUGUCACCCACAGUGCUGGGGGGUCCCUGUCCCCCGUGUCCUUGUCAUCCGUGGUGCUGGGGGGUCCUUGUCACCCACGGCGCUGGGGGGUCCCUGUCCCCCAUGUCCUUGUCACCCAUGGUGCUGGGGGGUCCCUGUCCCCCAUGUCCUUGUCUCCCAUGGUGCUGGGGCAUCCCUAUCCCCCGGGUCCUUGUCACCCACGGUGCUGGGGGUCCCUGUCCCCUGUGUCCUUGUCACCCACGGUGCUGGGGGUCCUUGUCACCUGUGGCACUGGGGGCUCCCUGUCCCCCGUGUCCUUGUCACCCGCAGCGCUGGGCGGGGCAGACCAGCCGUGGCUCUGCUCUGAGAUCCGAUCACCUGGGGCCACCGCCUGGGAUGACACCCGCGGCCCCUGUGAGCCCCGGUUCCAGUCCCAGUCGCUCCCUGCUGUGGCCUGGGGAGCAGCAGAGGAUGGCCUGAGUGCGUGGGCCCCUGCACCCAUGUGGGAGACCCCCAGGCUCCUGGCUGUGGCCUGGCCCAGCCCCAGCCACUGUGACCAUAAUGGGGAUGAGUCAGGGAAUAGAUCUCUCCCUCUCUCCCUCUCCCUCUCUCUCUGUUACUCUGCCUUUCAAACAAAUAAAUAAAUCUGUUUUAAAAAAAAAACAAAACAGAAAUGUGGCUUUGCUGUGGGACAGCCUGUAGGAAGCAGCAGAAUCCUUUGCUGUUGUUUAAAUUUUAUUUAUUUGAGAGAGACGGACAGGGGGAUCUUCCACCCACUGGCUCACAACACCCAGGGCUGGACCAGGCCAAAGCCAGGAGCCUGGCCCGCCAUGCCGGUCUCCCGUGUGGGUGGCGGGGGCCCAAGGCCUUGAGUCAGCACCUGCUGCCUCCCAGGGGGGCAUUAGCAGGAAGCUGGACUCGAACCCAGGCCCUCUGAUGUGGGAUGCGGGCGUGCUGACCGUUGGCUCACCCGCUGCACCCACACCUGCCCUGAAGCUGUUGUCAGCGGGAGUGGGGGGGGGCGCGAGACGGGGGCUGCUUUCCUGCUGUCCCCCCGGUCGUUGUUCUGGCCGACAAAGACAGAGCGAGUGACAUCCCAGCCCUGACCCAAGAACAAGGCUUGCAGAGCGAGAACGGAGCCCUGGACGCCCCACCCCUGCACCCGGCCCCCCCAACCCAGGAGCCUCUGUUCAUCCUCCGGGGCUCCCCGCCAUCCCUGUGCGCCUCGCACCCGAAUCCGUGAACGCUGGGGCUUUGCUUGUGUGUGGCCGCCUCUCCUCCUCCCGGCCGUAGACAAACCCACGGGAAGGGGCUUUGCUUGCCCUGUCACUGCCCGGACCCCUCGCGGCUCCCCCGGCCUGGGCCCCAGGAGGAGGACAGGGGCGCGGGGCGGCCGAGCAGGGUGGAGGCCUGGCGGGGGCCCCAGCGUGCGCGCUGGGCUCCUGCAGGCCGGGAGCCAGCAGGCUGGAGCCCGGCGCCCUCCGGGGCCUCCUCACAGCCGCUUUUGAUAAAACCCCCCGCGCCGGGAGGGGGCCCGGCCGGCUGGAGCCAGCGCACAUCUGCAGGCCAGCAGAGGCCCGAGGCGGCCGGCGCGGCUGACAGCGGCGCCACCCGCCACCCCGAGCCACACGCCCGGCCCUGGGU